UUUAGAUGUGUGUAUUAAUAUGUAUUGCAAGAAACAGGUAGGUUUUUUCUCUCUAAUAUUUUACAAAGUUAAAACUACACAAGUUAAUUAAUUUAGGAAUUUUGAACGAUGUUUCUAUAAAACUGGUUUUUUAAACAUCGAAUAGCUAUGGGGAUCCACCAGAAUAAAACAGUAAUCAAAGGGGACGAUCCAUAGAUAGAAAAUGGU
This is a long non-coding RNA of Octopus sinensis (East Asian common octopus), 207 nucleotides long. RefSeq lists it as uncharacterized. NCBI's taxonomy places the organism in Eukaryota, Metazoa, Mollusca, Cephalopoda, Octopoda, Octopodidae. The transcript has 3 exons. The record is from RefSeq and is a predicted model, not a curated record.